GCGAAGCCCUUUUCCCUAUUCCUGGAGCUGUGUUCCACCUGCCGCCUGGCACUCAGGCCCCACCCUUCCUGCUCUUGGUGCCUCAAGUAGUCUCCACCAACCCUGUGGUGUGGCCAGCCCCAUGCUGCUCAAGCUGCAGCAAAAGAGGAAGCAGACACUGCUCUCAAGAGUGUUGCAGCUUGAUCGGUAAAACAGCUACUUCUGUUGAAGAAUCUACCAGCCAUCGUGCCUCUUUGGAAACUCCUGAGGCUGAGCCUCAUAACUUAUAUGAGGUCAGAGCAGCCCUCGAAGGUCCUGGCCAGCAGCCGGUGGAUUCAGAGCGGGGAGCCCUCUCAGAGUUUUCCAUCCUUCAGCCAACAAGUGAAGACCUGCUGUCUACACCACUGGGGCCGAGGGAGUGAACUUGCAGCUCCAGAAGCAGCACACACACAGGAGGUGUUGCUGUGGACCAGGAGGACUGCACACACGUUCAGAGCAGGAGAUAAAGGGGUCGAGGAAGGCCUCCGGGAUGAAGGGCCUUGAGCAGGACCCUGAGAACACAUUGGAUUUAGGACCCUGGCUGAUAUACCUGCUGUGUGAGCCCCUCUCCAUGGCCCAAUCUCUCGCCCCGCCUGAUGUCCUGGUAUUACUGCUGUCAUCGUCACCACCAGCCCCUUCACACCCCCAACUUUUAGUGAG
This 678-nucleotide long non-coding RNA is filed under the name Homo sapiens (human). Its description in RNAcentral is "HSALNT0382279". The record is from RNAcentral. Lineage: Eukaryota; Metazoa; Chordata; Mammalia; Primates; Hominidae.